RNAcentral lists this ribosomal RNA (334 nucleotides) under uncultured Pelagophyceae. Its description in RNAcentral is "partial Bacterial small subunit ribosomal RNA". It matches the Rfam family "Bacterial small subunit ribosomal RNA", at positions 1199 to 1532 of the family's 1533-position model. The record is from RNAcentral. Lineage: Eukaryota; Pelagophyceae.
CCCUUACGGCCAGGGCUACACACGUGCUACAAUGGCGGUGACAACGGGAUGCGAAGGCGCGAGCCGGAGCCAAUCCCCAAAAACCGUCUCAGUUCGGAUCGUACUCUGCAACUCGAGUGCGUGAAGGUGGAAUCGCUAGUAAUCGCGCAUCAGCCAUGGCGCGGUGAAUACGUUCCCGGACCUUGUACACACCGCCCGUCAAGCCACGAAAGCCGGGGGCGCCCGAAGUCGUUUGCCUAACCGUAAGGAGGGCGGCGCCGAAGGCGAAACCGGUGAUUGGGACUAAGUCGUAACAAGGUAGCCGUAGGGGAACCUGCGGCUGGAUCACCUCCUU